CCUUAGAGUUUGAUCCUGGCUCAGGACGAACGCUGGCGGCGUGCCUAACACAUGCAAGUCGAGCGGGGACAUAUGUGGAAGCCUUCGGGUGGAAGGAUAUGUUCUAGCGGCGGACGGGUGAGUAACGCGUGAGUAACCUUUCCUUCACAGGGGAAUAACACAGCGAAAGUUGUACUAAUACCGCAUAACACCACGGUGAGACAUCUUACAGGGGUCAAAGGAGCAAUCCGGUGAAGGGUGGGCUCGCGUCCGAUUAGAUAGUUGGUGAGGUAACGGCCCACCAAGUCGACGAUCGGUAGCCGACCUGAGAGGGUGAUCGGCCACAUUGGGACUGAGACACGGCCCAAACUCCUACGGGAGGCAGCAAUGGGGAAUAUUGGGCAAUGGGGGGAACCCUGACCCAGCAACGCCGCGUGAGGGAAGAAGGUUUUCGGAUCGUAAACCUCUGUCCUUGGUGAAGAGCAAGAGACGGUAACCAGGGAGGAAGCCCCGGCUAACUACGUGCCAGCAGCCGCGGUAAUACGUAGGGGGCAAGCGUUGUCCGGAAUGAUUGGGCGUAAAGGGCGCGUAGGCGGCCUUUUAAGUCUGGAGUGAAAGUCCUGUUUUUAAGAUGGGAAUUGCUUUGGAUACUGGAAGGCUUGAGUGCAGGAGAGGUUAGUGGAAUUCCCAGUGUAGCGGUGAAAUGCGUAGAGAUUGGGAGGAACACCAGUGGCGAAGGCGACUAACCGGACUGUAACUGACGCUGAGGCGCGAAAGUGUGGGGAGCAAACAGGAUUAGAUACCCUGGUAGUCCACACUGUAAAC
RNAcentral lists this ribosomal RNA (804 nucleotides) under uncultured bacterium. RNAcentral's name for it is "bacterial SSU rRNA". It matches the Rfam family "Bacterial small subunit ribosomal RNA", at positions 1 to 807 of the family's 1533-position model. The record is from RNAcentral.